RNAcentral lists this long non-coding RNA (1340 nucleotides) under Cyanistes caeruleus (blue tit). RNAcentral's name for it is "lncRNA (ENSCCEG00000000495.1)". Lineage: Eukaryota; Metazoa; Chordata; Aves; Passeriformes; Paridae. The record is from RNAcentral.
CAGGGAGAUUCAGGUGGGCCCUUGGCCUGUGAGGUGACCCCGGGAGUGUUUUACCUUGCCGGCAUCGUGAGCUGGGGAUUUGGUUGUGCCCAGGCUAUGAGACCUGGUGUGUACUCCAGAAUUACCAAAUUCACAGACUGGAUCCUGGACACCAUCUCCCAGUUGCCCAGUGAUGGCACAAGCACACCUUCCAGUUCAGCCAUCCCUAGAACUUCUGCCACGGCCAUUUAUAUCCAGCCCAGCACAAUGGCUGCAAGUCCAACCAGCAGAACCACCCUGGAGACAAAGAUGAACAGAACCAUGAAUGAAACUUCCACAGCUCUGAGAGCAACUGAGACUGUGAAGCCUACCCAAACCCCAGUGGUGCCUUGUACCAGCCUCACUUUCAAGUGUUCCAGCAAGGUGUGUAUUGGAAAAGAAAAUCCUGAAUGUGAUGGUGUUGUGGACUGCAGCAAUGGUUUCGAUGAGCGCAACUGUGGUGAGUUCUCCUCUGUAGCCUGUGGCUGCUGCCAGCUGUGCUCUACAUGACCUGGACUCCACAGUGGUACCCACCUGUCUUGCUUUUGGAAGACAGGUGUCUGCUAGGGAAGGCAGGAGCCUGCCUUGGAAUGAAGAUGUAGACCCCCUCCCUCUGAAUUAUUAUAAUUUUGAAAUCAAGGAGCUCUCAGACAGAGAUCUGGGGAUAGGAAUAACAGUUCUUUAAUAGAGUGUAUAAUGAGGCAUACAAACAACAAUAACUACAGUGUUAACAACAAAACAGAACCAGGGACCCCAUGACAGCCUUCUCAGCUGGGACGGGAAAGGAUGGAGGAGAGGCUUUGCUUCACAAACCCCCUCGGGCAGUCCUGGUGCUCCUGAGGGGCUCUGAGGAACACUCAGCUGGAACAGCAGGGAUGAGCUGAGAUCCUGGGCCAGUGGCUGAGGUGGAUCAGCAGGGAUGAGCUGAGAUCCUGGGCCAGUGGCUGAGGUGGAUCAGCAGCUCCACGGUGGUGGCUGGCACUGCCACACGUCCCGGCAGUACAGGGGGUGCGAGGCCACCAACGAAGAGGGAAGGAGAAGAAGCAGCAGCUCUGUCUGGGUGAUGGUGAAUUCCCUUCUCUCCACAGCAACAGCUCCCAGCAAAGUGUCCUUCUCUGUAGCUGAAGAAGCCGCCAAAUUGUCCCCACCCUCCCCUUUUCCUGCCCCCCUUGGCCCAGCCAAACACUUUGUGUUUUCUCAAGCACCCACCAAGUACCUGCAGUCAGGUUUUCCCCAAAACUAGUGGGUAAAAACUCCACAGGUGGGCCAGAACUAAAAGAAGGACACCUAACCCCCAACACCACCAUAUUCACACUAGUUGU